UCCUACGGGGGGCAGCAGUGGGGAAUAUUGCACAAUGGGGGAAACCCUGAUGCAGCGACGCCGCGUGAGUGAGGAAGUAUUUCGGUAUGUAAAGCUCUAUCAGCAGGGAAGAAAAUGACGGUACCCGACCAAGAAGCCCCGGCUAACUACGUGCCAGCAGCCGCGGUAAUACGUAGGGGGCAAGCGUUAUCCGGAUUUACUGGGUGUAAAGGGCGUGUAGGCGGGCAUGCAAGCCAGAAGUGAAAUCUGGGGGCUUAACCCCCAAACUGCUUUUGGAACUGCGUGUCUUGAGUGAUGGAGAGGCA
Molecule: ribosomal RNA, 305 nt
Filed under: uncultured bacterium
Lineage: Bacteria
Description: bacterial SSU rRNA
Rfam family: Bacterial small subunit ribosomal RNA
Source: RNAcentral